RNAcentral lists this ribosomal RNA (468 nucleotides) under uncultured bacterium. RNAcentral describes it as "partial 16S ribosomal RNA". It matches the Rfam family "Bacterial small subunit ribosomal RNA", at positions 28 to 507 of the family's 1533-position model. The record is from RNAcentral.
GACGAACGCUGGCGGCGUGCUUAACACAUGCAAGUCGAACGGAAAGGCCCUGCUUUUGCUGGGUGCUCGAGUGGCGAACGGGUGAGUAACACGUGAGUAACCUGCCCUUGACUUUGGGAUAACUUCAGGAAACUGGGGCUCAUACCGGAUAGGAGCUCCUGCUGCAUGUUGGGGGUUGGAAAGUUUCGGCGGUUGGGGAUGGACUCGCGGCUUAUCGGCUUGUUGGUGGGGUAGUGGCUUACCAAGGCUGUGAAGGGUAGCCGACCUGGGAAGGUGACCGGCCACAUGAGGACUGAGGUACGGACCAGUAUCCAACGGGCGGCAGCAGGGGGGAGUAUUGCACAGUGGGCGGGAGCCAGUUACGACGGCGCCGGGAGCGGGAUGCUGUCCUUCGGGUUAAAAACCGCUUUCGACUGUGAUGAGGCGUGAGUGACGGUAAUGGGUAAAGAAGCACCGGCUAACUACGUG